RNAcentral lists this ribosomal RNA (378 nucleotides) under Triticum aestivum (bread wheat). RNAcentral describes it as "partial small subunit ribosomal RNA". Lineage: Eukaryota; Viridiplantae; Streptophyta; Magnoliopsida; Poales; Poaceae. The record is from RNAcentral.
AUGUAUCCAUCAGUUAUACAGCUACAAGUCCAUCUGCCAAAUAUGCACCUUGUUCACUAUAAAGAUUCAGAAAAAUUAGAGGAUGUGGUCUGCAAAGGAUCGUCUUCGAGAACAAUGCUAACUGAAUACUUCAGAAUGAACUCUAUUGAUAGUUAUGCCAGGAAUUUCUUAUACAAGGAAUUUCCAGAAUUUUUUGUAUGGAAUAAUAGUACCAAGAGCUGGAAACAUCGCAAACAGAGAAUACAAGUAGGGAGACUUGUCGCUGCACACCCAGCUGAAGGAACGCUAUUACUUGAGGAUACUGCUAAAUCAUGUGAGAUGGGCUACAUCUUUCGAGGAUUUACGGACUGUCGAUGGUUUUGUUUUUGCCACUUUUAG